CUCCGCCCCGCCGCGAGCGGCUG
This 23-nucleotide microRNA is filed under the name Equus caballus (horse). RNAcentral describes it as "eca-miR-8928". The record is from miRBase by way of RNAcentral. Lineage: Eukaryota; Metazoa; Chordata; Mammalia; Perissodactyla; Equidae.